UACGUAGGGGGCAAGCGUUGUCCGGAUUUAUUGGGCGUAAAGAGUGUGUAGGCGGUGUUCCCAGUCUGUUGUGAAAUCUCCCGGCUUAACUGGGAGGGUGCAGCGGAAACUAGAAUGCUAGAGGGUGGGAGAGGUAAGCGGAAUUCCUGGUGUAGCGGUGAAAUGCGUAGAUAUCAGGAGGAACACCUGUGGUGUAGACAGCUUACUGGACCACUUCUGACGCUGAGACACGAAAGCGUGGGUAGCAAACAGG
RNAcentral lists this ribosomal RNA (253 nucleotides) under uncultured bacterium. RNAcentral describes it as "partial 16S ribosomal RNA". It matches the Rfam family "Bacterial small subunit ribosomal RNA", at positions 524 to 776 of the family's 1533-position model. The record is from RNAcentral.